CGCCUUGCCAGCCCGCUCAGAACUCAAAGGAAUUGACGGGGGCCCGCACAAGCGGUGGAGCAUGUGGUUUAAUUCGAUGAUACGCGAGGAACCUUACCUGGGCUCAAAUGUAUGUUGACGUAUUCUGAAAGGGAUACUUCUUCGGACAAUAUACAAGGUGCUGCAUGGUUGUCGUCAGCUCGUGCCGUGAGGUGUCGGGUUAAGUCCCAUAACGAGCGCAACCCCUAUCAUUAGUUGCCAUCAGGUCAAGCUGGGGACUCUAAUGAAACUGCCUACGCAAGUAGUGAGGAAGGUGGGGAUGACGUCAAAUCAGCACGGCCCUUACGUCCAGGGCUACACACGUGCUACAAUGGCCGGUACAACGGGCAGCGAAGGAGCGAUCCGGAGCGAAUCCUAAAAAGCCGGUCCCAGUUCGGAUUGCAGGCUGAAACUCGCCUACAUGAAGUUGGAGUUGCUAGUAAUCGCGAAUCAGAAUGUCGCGGUGAAUGCGUUCCCGGGUCUU
RNAcentral lists this ribosomal RNA (502 nucleotides) under uncultured Sphingobacteriales bacterium. RNAcentral describes it as "bacterial SSU rRNA". It matches the Rfam family "Bacterial small subunit ribosomal RNA", at positions 903 to 1382 of the family's 1533-position model. Lineage: Bacteria; Pseudomonadati; Bacteroidota; Sphingobacteriia; Sphingobacteriales. The record is from RNAcentral.